GCGCGUAGGAGUCUUGAGAAGGGCUGUCCCUAGUACGAGAGGACCGGGACGGACGAACCUCUGGUGUGCCAGUUGUUCUGCCAAGGGCAUGGCUGGUUGGCUACGUUCGGGAGGGAUAACCGCUGAAAGCAUCUAAGCGGGAAGCCUGCUUCGAGAUGAGGACUCCCACCCACUUGAUGGGGUAAGGCUCCCAGUAGACGACUGGGUUGAUAGGCCGGAUCUGGAAGCCAGGUAACUGGUGGAGGUGACCGGUACUAAUAGGCCGAGGGCUUGUCCUCAGUUG
This 283-nucleotide ribosomal RNA is filed under the name Streptomyces sp. SID4946. Its description in RNAcentral is "partial 23S ribosomal RNA". It matches the Rfam family "Bacterial large subunit ribosomal RNA", at positions 2649 to 2925 of the family's 2925-position model. The record is from RNAcentral. Lineage: Bacteria; Bacillati; Actinomycetota; Actinomycetes; Kitasatosporales; Streptomycetaceae.